UACGUAGGGUGCGAGCGUUAAUCGGAAUUACUGGGCGUAAAGCGCACGUAGCCGGUUUUUUAAGUCAGAUGUGAAAGCCCCGGGCUCAACCUGGGAAUUGCAUUUGAAACUGGGAAACUAGAGUGUGUGAGAGGGGGGUAGAAUUCCAAGUGUAGCGGUGAAAUGCGUAGAGAUUUGGAGGAAUACCAGUGGCGAAGGCGGCCCCCUGGCACAACACUGACGCUCAGGUGCGAAAGCGUGGGGAGCAAACAGG
RNAcentral lists this ribosomal RNA (253 nucleotides) under uncultured bacterium. RNAcentral describes it as "partial 16S ribosomal RNA". It matches the Rfam family "Bacterial small subunit ribosomal RNA", at positions 524 to 776 of the family's 1533-position model. The record is from RNAcentral.